ACGGGGGUGCUGGGCUGCUGACCUGUCCUGGAUUCUUGAUGAUUUAACUCAGUGCAGGACAUUUUCGCCAAGGCUGGGGGAGGCGGGUGCAAACCAGGGUUGAACCCUGGCUCAGGUUAAUGGCUUCACUAUGGGCUUCCCUCUCCCCGGCAGCAAUGAUCCUGCUGCUGUGAAUGACGUGGGAGUCUCUGUCCCUCCCUAUCCCAAACUCCUGCUCNCUGUGAAUGACGUGGGAGUCUCUGUCCCUCCCUAUCCCAAACUCCUGCUCGGUGUUAUGUGUGGCUGUUCCCCAGCUGCCCCACCCCAGAGGUGGCUGCAUCUCAGGGCCGGCUGAGCUCUCUGGGGCUGGGGUAGCUCAGGGAUUCGUCUCUCUCUCUUCUCUCUCCAGAUGGCCAUGGACCCCGGGAUCCCUUCUCCUACGGUGAGUGGGGCCACUCGUGUGGCUGCCUUGUGGGCUGAUGUCUCUGCGCUGCUGGGAGGGGGCUCCACGGUUGGGCAUCCCCUGUUGGGGGGGGCACUGCCCAGCAGGGAUCCCCCCGGUUCCCCCAGGCCCAGCUCCUAGCUGGGGUGUCUGCUGGAACAUGGGGCUUCACUAGAGCUUGAGGGAGCUGGGGGGCAGGGGUAGUGGGCUGCGGGGGGAGGGAGCUGGGGGGCUGUCUGUCUCUGACCCCCCCUCUCCUCUCAGACUACGACACCUUGCGCGUGGUUGGCCUCGUCCUGGCCAUUGUCAUGUUCGUGGUGGGCAUCCUGACAGCGCUGACCUAUCGGAGGCCAGGCAACCGGGAAAGACCCCAACUCCAGCAGGCAGCGCGUAGGCCUGGUGCCUGGGAUGUAGCGCCCCCCUCUGGCUGGGGGGUGCAGACCCUGCUGCCCCCCCCUCGCCCAGGACGGUCCAAGACCUCAGCUCCAGCGCCCGGCGACACCCGUGGGGGCAGGGAAGGGGAAGCCCUGUUAUCUGAGCCCCCGUCUUUUAGAACCUCUGCCUCCAAUUGGCUAGCGAGCCCAUUGCAUGCUGGGAGCAGGCACCAUAUGCAGGGAGGGGGGUGUCCCUUAGCCUCACUUGGCCCCCCCAUCUUGAUCCACUGGGUCCCCUUCACUUCCUGUCCCCCCCAGCGCAUUUGACCCCCCCAUGCCAUGACUGCUUUGCUUACGGCACCCCCCUCCCCGCUGCAUUGGGGGGGUGCUCCUUGUGGGGGGAACGGACACACAUCACCAACACAUACCCCCAGGCCCAGACGUGGGCCCCACCUGGGCAGGGGGCCCUGAUGCUGACAGGGUGCUGCUUUCAUGACGUGUUUUCAGCCACCCGCAGGGGGCGCCACCCCGUGGCUGCCCCCUCCACCCCCAUGCACGGGGCAGAGCAGAUCCAGUGCUCAAUAAACAUAGGGUUGUUUCUUACUGG
RNAcentral lists this long non-coding RNA (1402 nucleotides) under Gopherus agassizii (Agassiz's desert tortoise). RNAcentral's name for it is "lncRNA (ENSGAGG00000007990.1)". The record is from RNAcentral. Lineage: Eukaryota; Metazoa; Chordata; Testudines; Testudinidae.